RNAcentral lists this transfer RNA (69 nucleotides) under Parajulis poecilepterus. RNAcentral describes it as "tRNA-Glu". It matches the Rfam family "tRNA". Rfam says of the family: Transfer RNA (tRNA) molecules are approximately 80 nucleotides in length. Their secondary structure includes four short double-helical elements and three loops (D, anti-codon, and T loops). Further hydrogen bonds mediate the characteristic L-shaped molecular structure. tRNAs have two regions of fundamental functional importance: the anti-codon, which is responsible for specific mRNA codon recognition, and the 3' end, to which the tRNAs corresponding amino acid is attached (by aminoacyl-tRNA synthetases). tRNAs cope with the degeneracy of the genetic code in two manners: having more than one tRNA (with a specific anti-codon) for a particular amino acid; and 'wobble' base-pairing, i.e. permitting non-standard base-pairing at the 3rd anti-codon position. Lineage: Eukaryota; Metazoa; Chordata; Actinopteri; Labriformes; Labridae. The record is from RNAcentral.
GUUUCUGUAGUUAAAUAACAACGGUGGUUUUUCAAGCCAUUAUUUUUGGUUAGAGUCCUGGCGAGAACC